GGUGCCUUCGGGAACUCUGAGACAGGUGCUGCAUGGCUGUCGUCAGCUCGUGUUGUGAAAUGUUGGGUUAAGUCCCGCAACGAGCGCAACCCUUAUCCUUUGUUGCCAGCGGUCCGGCCGGGAACUCAAAGGAGACUGCCAGUGAUAAACUGGAGGAAGGUGGGGAUGACGUCAAGUCAUCAUGGCCCUUACGAGUAGGGCUACACACGUGCUACAAUGGCGCAUACAAAGAGAAGCGACCUCGCGAGAGCAAGCGGACCUCAUAAAGUGCGUCGUAGUCCGGAUUGGAGUCUGCAACUCGACUCCAUGAAGUCGGAAUCGCUAGUAAUCGUGGAUCAGAAUGCCACGGUGAAUACGUUCCCGGGCCUUGUACACACCGCCCGUCACACCAUGGGAGUGGGUUGCAAAAGAAGUAGGUAGCUUAACCUUCGGGAGGGCGCUUACCACUUUGUGAUUCAUGACUGGGGUGAAGUCGUAACAAGGUAACCGUAGGGGAACCUGCGGUUGGAUCACCUCCUUA
This 520-nucleotide ribosomal RNA is filed under the name Enterobacter hormaechei. RNAcentral's name for it is "bacterial SSU rRNA". It matches the Rfam family "Bacterial small subunit ribosomal RNA", at positions 1013 to 1533 of the family's 1533-position model. The record is from RNAcentral. Lineage: Bacteria; Pseudomonadati; Pseudomonadota; Gammaproteobacteria; Enterobacterales; Enterobacteriaceae.